CUUACGGGAGUCAGCAGUGGGGAAUUUUGGACAAUGGGCGAAAGCCUGAUCCAGCAAUGCCGCGUGAGUGAAGAAGGCCUUCGGGUUGUAAAGCUCUUUUGUCAGGGAAGAAACGGUGAGGGCUAAUAUCUCUUGCUAAUGACGGUACCUGAAGAAUAAGCACCGGCUAACUACGUGCCAGCAGCCGCGGUAAUACGUAGGGUGCAAGCGUUAAUCGGAAUUACUGGGCGUAAAGCGUGCGCAGGCGGUUUUGUAAGUCUGUCGUGAAAUCCCCGGGCUCAACCUGGGAAUUGCGAUGGAGACUGCAAGGCUAGAAUCUGGCAGAGGGGGGUAGAAUUCCACGUGUAGCAGUGAAAUGCGUAGAGAUGUGGAGGAACACCGAUGGCGAAGGCAGCCCCCUGGGUCAAGAUUGACGCUCAUGCACGAAAGCGUGGGGAGCAAACAGGAUUAGAUACCCUGGUAGUCCACGCCCUAAACGAUGUCUACUAGUUGUCGGGUUUUAAUUAACUUGGUAACGCAGCUAACGCGUGAAGUAGACCGCCUGGGGAGUACGGUCGCAAGAUUAAAACUUCAAAGGAAUUGACGG
Molecule: ribosomal RNA, 586 nt
Filed under: uncultured bacterium
Lineage: Bacteria
Description: bacterial SSU rRNA
Rfam family: Bacterial small subunit ribosomal RNA
Source: RNAcentral